This 177-nucleotide small RNA is filed under the name Nothobranchius furzeri (turquoise killifish). RNAcentral's name for it is "Metazoan signal recognition particle RNA (ENSNFUG00015013574.1)". It matches the Rfam family "Metazoan signal recognition particle RNA", at positions 124 to 299 of the family's 299-position model. Rfam says of the family: The signal recognition particle (SRP) is a universally conserved ribonucleoprotein. It is involved in the co-translational targeting of proteins to membranes. The eukaryotic SRP consists of a 300-nucleotide 7S RNA and six proteins: SRPs 72, 68, 54, 19, 14, and 9. Lineage: Eukaryota; Metazoa; Chordata; Actinopteri; Cyprinodontiformes; Nothobranchiidae. The record is from Rfam by way of RNAcentral.
GUAUCGAUAUGGUGCUCCUGGGGGAGCCUGGGACCACCAGGUUGACCAAGGAGGGGUGCACCGGCCCAGGUCGGAGACGGAGCAGGUCAAAACCCCCGUACCGCUCAGUAGUGGGAUCACACCUGAGAAUCGAUGCUGCCAGUUCAGCCUGAGUAAAACAGAGACUCAGUCUUUUAU